RNAcentral lists this ribosomal RNA (496 nucleotides) under uncultured bacterium. Its description in RNAcentral is "partial 16S ribosomal RNA". It matches the Rfam family "Bacterial small subunit ribosomal RNA", at positions 29 to 507 of the family's 1533-position model. The record is from RNAcentral.
AUGAACGCUGGCGGCGUGCCUAAUCCCUGCCAGUCGAGCGAACAGACGAGGAGCUUGCUCCUCUGACGUUAGCGGCGGACGGGUGAGUAACCCGUGGAUAACCUACCUAUAAGACUGGGAUAACUUCGGGAAACCGGAGCUAAUACCGGAUAAUAUAUUGAACCGCCUGGUUCAAUAGUGAAAGACGGUUUUGCUGUCACGUAUAGAUGGAUCCGCGCCGCAUUAGCUAGUUGGUAAGGUAACGGCUUACCAAGGCAACGAUGCGUAGCCGACCUGAGAGGGUGAUCGGCCACACUGGAACUGAGACACGGUCCAGACUCCUACGGGAGGCAGCAGUAGGGAAUCUUCCGCAAUGGGCGAAAGCCUGACGGAGCAACGCCGCGUGAGUGAUGAAGGUCUUCGGAUCGUAAAACUCUGUUAUUAGGGAAGAACAAAUGUGUAAGUAACUAUGCACGUCUUGACGGUACCUAAUCAGAAAGCCACGGCUAACUACGUG